UUCCCUCCCAUCGCUUUCCUUUCUUCCCAUCUUCCUCUCUUAUCUGGGUGCACUCUCUCUCCCUUCCUGUCACUCUCUUUUUUCUCAUCAUGGUCUUUCUCUCUCACUCCUCUUCUUCUUCUUCCUCCUCCUCCUCUUCUUUUUCUUUCUUUGGUGUAGCUUGCUAUCCUUAUUUCUUUUUUCUCACCUUGGGUAAGACCUGAAGCCCUUUUUACCUUUAGUUUGAUUUAAAUUUAAGAUUCAACCAUUGAUAGUUUAGAGUAAUAAGUGAGGUAAUGGUUGAAAUCAUGGAUUGAUAAGAUGGAGAAGAAUUGCAGGGAAAGAAUAUUAGAAAAAAUUGAUGUUAAUUUUAGGACAGAUUGACUCUAUCCUAUGAUAAUCCAAGAUUUUUAACUCUCUAACGACCAAGUAGUCUAAUCUAAAAAUUUAAAUGGAGAUUGUUAGCUAAUUGGUCAAUUCAAUUGCAAAAUUUGAGAAUUUCUGGAUACUAUUUGUCAGAUCAAAUAGGACAAAUAAUGGGCCUA
This 524-nucleotide long non-coding RNA is filed under the name Elaeis guineensis (African oil palm). Its description in RNAcentral is "long non-coding RNA (EGUI_LNC027477)". Lineage: Eukaryota; Viridiplantae; Streptophyta; Magnoliopsida; Arecales; Arecaceae. The record is from RNAcentral.